Molecule: long non-coding RNA, 759 nt
Filed under: Rattus norvegicus (Norway rat)
Lineage: Eukaryota; Metazoa; Chordata; Mammalia; Rodentia; Muridae
Description: long non-coding RNA NONRATT032699
Source: RNAcentral
AAAACCGUUACUGGGUGGGUCUGGGGGAAUUCCGAGACACUGGCCGGGCGGUGGCGUGGUGAGCCAAGCGGAGACCCGCGUGGGAGUAAGGAAGAGGGCGAGGCAGGUAUCCCUGUGGUGCAAGAACCCAUGGAACAGAGGCAAGAAGGAAAGGACUCUUGGGGACAGAUGUAACUGCUCUUUGCUGCACUGUUGUUUUGGUGAUCCCAAUCCUCACACCUUCAGAGGACUCUGCAUCUCAAAAGUCUUCAAGCAAUCUCUGAAACCUUUGUCAUCCCCGAAUGCUUCAAUCCUCCUGUCCCCCUCUCCUGAAUAUACAUCCUGGGCUUCAACCUACUUACUAAGUCUUCAAUGGAUCAGUAGAAACUAAAUCUUGACCUCUACUGUAAAAGUGUGGCGUAAUGAGAGGCAUGGAAAGAAGAGUGUAUCCGACAGGCUGCCAACACCCAAAUGGAAGAGAGGAGGGAAACAUAAAGAAGGGCUAAGGAAAGACAUCUGACUUCCAGCAGCCGCCAGAAGCCACUGAAGUUUUGAAAAGUCAAGUUUUGUCAAACCCAAGUGAAUGCUGACAUGUAUGUGGUACAGAAAUAAAGGAGAAAGCUAAACAACAGAUUUGUUUAUACCCAUUUCUAUACUCCUCACACACAUACUUCACUACGUGGGCUGUUUCACUAUGAUGUGCAGACCCUUUAGAUAUGAGUCAAUGAAUGGAAGAAUGAUGGGGAAAAUGAUAAAGAGCCAGGCAAGUGCGUCCACCCC